Procambarus clarkii (red swamp crayfish) is the source of this 203-nucleotide non-coding RNA. The record is from RefSeq and is a predicted model, not a curated record. NCBI's taxonomy places the organism in Eukaryota, Metazoa, Arthropoda, Malacostraca, Decapoda, Cambaridae.
UUGUGGCAGUGUAAGUGUGUGGUGAGGGCACACCACUGAAGACAUUGAGGAUAUACCACGAGGAAGAGACAAAACUGUUGAAGAAAGGAGUCACUGGCUCCACCUGACCACCUUGGGCCACAUUCACCAAGGUAAUACGGCUUCCAGUCUCUGCUCGGCUACCAAGGACGAUAGCAAACACAACUUCUGCCCAUUAAUGAUGG